ACCCAGCAUGGCUUAGUGGUUUGAGCGUUGGACUUCAACUCUGGAGACCAGGGUUCGAUUCCCAGCUUGGCUA
RNAcentral lists this transfer RNA (73 nucleotides) under Phrynosoma platyrhinos (Desert horned lizard). RNAcentral describes it as "tRNA-OTHER". The stretch from base 9 to 65 matches the Rfam family "tRNA", at positions 8 to 63 of the family's 71-position model. Rfam says of the family: Transfer RNA (tRNA) molecules are approximately 80 nucleotides in length. Their secondary structure includes four short double-helical elements and three loops (D, anti-codon, and T loops). Lineage: Eukaryota; Metazoa; Chordata; Lepidosauria; Squamata; Phrynosomatidae. The record is from RNAcentral.